Molecule: ribosomal RNA, 301 nt
Filed under: uncultured bacterium
Lineage: Bacteria
Description: partial 16S ribosomal RNA
Rfam family: Bacterial small subunit ribosomal RNA
Source: RNAcentral
CAGCAGCCGCGGUAAUACGAGGGGGGCAAGCGUUGUUCGGAAUUAUUGGGCGUAAAGGGUGCGUAGGCGGUUUCGUAAGUCUUAUGUGAAAUCUAUGGGCUCAACCCAUAGUCUGCAUGGGAAACUGCGAGGCUUGAGGAUGGGAGAGGUGAGUAGAAUUUCCGGUGGAGCGGUGAAAUGCGUUGAGAUCGGAAGGAACGCCCGUGGCGAAAGCGAGUGCCUGGACCCUUUCUGACGCUGAGACGCGAAAGCCAGGGGAGCGAACGGGAUUAGAUACCCCUGUAGUCCCUGUCUCUUAUAC